GCCUACGGCCACGCCAUCCUGAACAAGCCUGAUCCCGUCUGAUCUCAGAUGCUAAGCAGGGUCGGGCCUGGUUAGUCCUUGGAUAGGAGGCCACCUAGGAAGACCAGAUGCUGUAGGCG
RNAcentral lists this ribosomal RNA (119 nucleotides) under Pteropus alecto (black flying fox). Lineage: Eukaryota; Metazoa; Chordata; Mammalia; Chiroptera; Pteropodidae. The record is from RNAcentral.